UUACCAAGAAGGUGCGUAAGGAAACUCCCCAGGGGAACGGUAAAGGUCUGACUAAGGGUCAUAGUUUGGUUUAGUUACACAGUUGUAUGCCUAGGUCUGAACUCAUGGAUUGCUACACCGGAGAUCUGCACAUUUCAUUGCACGUAAAGUCUAUUUCAAAAGGGGGAAGAAAGGAACCAGCAGCAAAUAGUGAAUUCUAAUGAUACGCUUGGUGGAGUGUUUAAGGAUGAAAUGUACUUACAUCUGCAACUCACUUGGAAAUGCACGGAAAGAUGAAGCCGUGGCUCAGAGAGAUUGAGUUGUCUGCCUGAAGAUUGAUGUCCUGCUCCAUCUGUCAGCAGGGUGACUUGAAUUUAACCAUGGAGAGACAGCCCUUUGUUCUGGGGAGACACCACCAUGGACCUGUUCAUUUUCUACAGCUACUCUUCCAAAGGGACUCCGGUGCCAUUAUUAACCUGAAUGCUGACGAGUCAAGUGUUUAUUUUGAUCGUGAAAGCUGGAUGUAUCUCUUAUCUGUGACACAAAAAUACAAGGCAAAUGAAUAGGAGAAACUGAGACCCAGAAAGGAGGGCCCUUGGCUGAGGCCAGAGACCAAGGCCCACAUCUCUGGUACACCCUGCAUAUCACCCAGAGCAGGUCUGUGCACAAAGGAGGUGCUCACUCCAUCCCUGCCAACAAGCGGACGUUAACUUUCUGCAGGUGAGUUAGCACCACACAUUGACACGCGCUUCCGACCUUUGCCCGAUAACCGGCUCUGGUUCAUUCAUCCAUGAAUGGAAAUGAGCUCACAGAAGAGGCUACUUAACAUUACUGGCCCGAGCCCGGCCUAAUUCUCCUGCAGCCAGCCAUGACUGCCCGGGUCCAUGCCCCCCACUAUCUACUCCACCAAGUCCACCACUCUUCACCCCUCUUCCCCUAAGAACACACCACAGGGGCGCCUGGGUGGCUCAGUCUGUUAAGCGUCAGGCUUCGGCUCAGGUCGCGAUCUCAUGGUUCGUGAGUUCCAGCCCUGCAUUGGGCUCUGUGCCGACAGCUCGGAGCCUGGAGCCUGCUUCGGAUUCUGUUUCCCUCUAUCUCUCUCUGCUCCUCCCCCGCUCGCACUUUGUCUGUCUCUCUCAAAAAAAAAUUAAUAAACAUUAAAAAAAAUUAGAAAGGCCUUUCUUAAAAAAACAAAAGACAAAAACACACAGCACAGCCCCAGCCCAGGACAGGGUCCCUUGAGAAGCUAACACCGAAUGAAAGAAUCCGAGAGAGGCAGAGCUGACUGGAGUCUUUGCAGUGCUGCUGCCUGGUUUCGUUGGGGUUCUGCCUCAUUUCUGUCAUUCACAGGUUGGUGACUUCCUGACUUCCUGCUGCCCACGGUAGCUGUCCCUGUGACCCUCAGGCUAGAGGCAGGCAGUUUGGGCCACCUCCCCCAGCAGCGGCAAGUCCGGGUGGCGGUAACGGUGCAUCUUUUAUUGAGUUAGCGGGUUAACGGGCACAUAAAACACACACAACUUGUCAGCCUGUUGGCUGCUGCCACCACCAUAAUGCUCUCCUGCCUCAGGCUCCACUGGAUUGCUCGUCAGCUUGCUCUCUCCCUCCCUCUCCUUCUCCUCGUGAUGUUGUUGCUUUGUUUGUUUUUCUGGGGUUUUGUUGUUGUCAUUGUUCUGUUUUUGUCAAAGUCUCUCUCUUCCCAACCUGCACCUCCUCCCUCCCCGAACAGCUAAAGGGUCCCUAGAAACAUUAUUAUUUAUUUAUUUUCAAUCGUUUCCCUGGGCAGUCGGUUCCUGAGAAGACUGAGCCUUGAAGGCUCAGAUGCCUCUGCCAAGUUAUCUGUCCCUUCCCAGGACACUCAGGUUCAAGGACAGAGGCAGCCCAGAAAGAGUUUCAGUCCAUCGAAGGAUGAGGCACAUGGCUUAGAGCACUUGCCAGAUGCCCGACACCAGUGUCAGCUGAGCACACAGGCUCACGCUGCCCACCAGGGCAGGCACAAGGCCAGCACCGUCCCUGGCAGGCGGUGACCACGUGCACCUCCACCUACCCACACCUCCAAAACCCCACGCCUGCAUGCACGCACGCAGAAGUCCAUAUCUACACGCCCAGACCCCACCAUACAAACAUUCUCAGAAAAUCCACAUUCCGGAUGGGUACUCCUAAGGAUCUACACUUGAAAGAGCGCACACGCACGCUGCAAGGUGCAUUCUCCAGUCUGCACGUACACGCCUCAUACACAUAUACUCUCGACGGCUUCGGUCUGCACGCACAUACCGAGGUCACCACACCCUCAACCAUCCACGUGUACAUUCAUGUGUGUAGACACCACAUCAUCAACAGGCCAUUAUUCACAUAUAUCCCCACAAAGAUGCACCUUCAGUACUGAUACUAAUCAUGGGUGCCCUCAAAACUGUCUAUUUCUGCAUGCACGGCGCCCAACUAUUUACAUACACUACCAGGAGCUGAACCCUGUGUGCACACUUCUGAUGUGCAUAUACCUCCAACAGACCACAUCUGCACACACUCACCCCGGAUACACCCAGCCUCAACCACCCACAUCUGCCAGCUGCACUUCUGCGUACACAUCCGCUGUUUGCCGGCCAUGUCUGCAUGUGCCCACCCUACAUACACACUUCCUGGGCAUAUCCCCAAACCUCCAUGUCUGCCACAUCCUCAUAGAAACUGGUACUCCCACCAGCCUAUCUGCAAGUCAGACUUUAAUGUGUAUUUCAGAUAUAUGUGUAAGCACCUCAUGUACACAUACAUACUUGAUCCCCUUUGCUUAUAUCCCAGGCACAUGAACUCUUAACCCCUAUCAGUAUGUAUAUUCCAUGUAAACAUCCCAUAAUAUUCUACUGUCUGUAUGUUCACAUUACAUGUCCCCAGAUAAGACACCAAUUCUGCCCUUGCUCAUACUCUGACGUCUUCCCGUCUUCAUGCACAUCUCAAAUGUGUGUGCUCACACCUCUGAAUGCCCUAUUCUACAUGUGCGUGCAUACAGGUUACAUAGACCCCAGUACAUGGACACACACACACUCAAGUCUGACAUUGCCACAUGCAAAGGCAACCACGUACAGCUCCCUCUACCACCCCGUGCCUGUAUCAAAUGCCACCAUCAAUUCAAUUUAAUUAAGACUGAACUAAACUCUUGGGCCUGGAGAAGAGUCUGUCUGGUGUUGGAAAUAGGGAGAUGAAAAAGACAGCAUUGAGGAGGGCACUUGUUGGGAUGAGCACUGGCUGUUGCAUGUAAGUAAUGAAUCACUAAAUUCUACUCCUGAAACCAUUAUUACACUGCCUGUUAACUAACUUGGAAUUUAAAAAAAAAAGAAAAAAAAAAAAAGAGCAGGGACCUUACCCUCAGGGAGGUCUCAGUCUAGGAAGAGAAAUGGACAAGAAAGCAGACAGUUACAACAAAAGCUGAUUAGUUCAGUCAUGGAAAUAGGUGUGCACACAAGCACACACCCUCAGGAGAUCCAGAUUUACAGGAACAUUCUACAUGCAUACAGAUGCACAAAUGGACACACCAUUCACAUCCCCACUCUGUGCCCAAACCCCACGAUUUUAACCAUGAUCAGUCACUUCAAUUAGGCAUAGGGGCUUAAAAAGCCACCCAUCAAGCGCCUCUCUCAUGCUAAAGCUGCUGUUAGGGCGAGAAUGUUCUCUCAUGAGCACCGUCACUGCUUGGACUGAAUCUCUCUUCUUGGCUGUUCACUGAGUACCUAGUCCAGCACUGACACAGCCUUGGGUGUCGGGAGUGGUCUCUCCAACAAUGGACCAACUUCAUUCUCAGCCUGACCUCAGACAAGCCACAGGCUUUGAAGUUACCCUCUCCACUCUUUGCCUUCUACAGAGGCUGCUGUGGCCAUGAUAAGCCCAAGGGAUCAUUCCUGCUCACUCCUCCUUGCUUGAGCUCCAGCAGCUCUGAUAUGCUUAUUUUUUAUAGCUAAUCCAAUUCCAUUCUGAAUUCCUAGGAUUUUAGUGUCUAAAGCAGAGGUCAAACAACUAUGCCUCAUAGACCAAAUCUGGCCCACCAUCUGUUUUUGUAAAUAAAGUUUUAUUGAGACGCAGUCACACACAUUUAUUUAAGUAUUGUCUAUGGUUGCUUUGGGGCUAUAACGACUGAGUUCAGCCUCGGUCUGAGACUGAGACUAUGGCUGGUCAAACCUAAAAUAUUUACUAUCUGACCCUUCGCAGAAGGUGUUAGCCAAAGGGGCAUCAAGUACGGAGGUACUAGUCCUACUCUGGCCUUCUCUGGUUAAAACAGCACAUUUUAAGAGGUAAAUAGAGAAACUGCAGAGUGCAGAGGGAGAAGACCAGGAAGGAAAGGGAUCCAAAUUACUUCUUUAACUCAUCAGAUGUCGACGGAGUGCCUCCCAUCUGCCGACACUCUGCUGGGCACAAGGUUACAGCAGUGAAAAGAACAUAGCUCCUGUCCUCCUAAACUAAACAAGGCUAUUAGCGGACAUUAAACCACAGCUCUUACAAGGACUGCAUAGUGAGCAAUGUGAUAAAUACUGAGAAGACAAAAAGUGGGCAGUGUUGGGGCCAGGAAAACAAACUCAGAAAUACUUUGAUGGGUGACCUCAAAUAUGUGAGGGAAUGAUGUGGCAAAGGGAUUGGACAAGCUCUCUGGGCUUUCCCAAGUGGGCUCUGGGAUCAGAGCAGCACAGGAAAUACAGGAAGACUCUGUCUUAGUGAGUCAAGGAGAUUUUAACCCUCAGCACUGCCCUACAAUGGGCCCUGCACCACAAAAGCUUGUGUACUCCAUAUUAUUAAUGAAGGAGAAUCAUUUGGGGGAUGAGUAGAGGGGACUGGUGCUUGGGAUUGGCCUACAUGACGUCUGUGCCCAAGUGUAAGGCUCACCAUGGCUUCUCAAGAUGAUGCAUCAAGCUAAGCUUUGCCAAUAUUCCCUCUCCGUUCCCAGCAUCCUCUGCUCCUGUUAUGCAGACAUAAGGGAUGGCGGCCUCUCCCAACCUGGCCCUUGGGUAGGCCAUGGGCAGCUCCUGUCACAGUGUGCUGUGAGGGCGUCCAUCACUCCUGUGGUCGUCAUGGGUUCCUACUUAAACCAGUUGAAAAUAAGUUUCCAUACCAACUGGCUUCUUCAAAGAUCCUGAGAACCUCCUCCUCCUUCUCACAAAGGACCCCAACCUUUUUCCACUUGCUCUCUCCCCUCAAGCUCCAAACUUUUCCAUCUCUCCUUUGAGUCUUCCAAGCCCCUCUCCUCUUCAGCCCCUCAGGUGGCAUCCAAGGGGCCAUGCCUGAUCCUCUCUUGCAGAAGGUUCAAAGGAGGAUGUCGAAGUUUGGCCUCAUCCUUAACCCAGGAUUCUUGGUGCCCACUCCUUGUUCAUUCCCUCCCACCAGGGGCAUACUUCCCAGAUCUGGACAUCAAAGACACAGAUAAGAGCAAGAGGGAUGAGAAGAUGACAGCAAGAAAGAAGGCAGGAUCAGGACAAAGAAAGGACGCAAGCAAAAUGCAAGACAAAAUAAAAGGGCAAAUGGGGAAAGCCUUAAGAACUCUGGUUUUAAGUGGCCUGAUAAUUAAAUAACAAGGGUUUGGUGGGGGAGCCCACCUUUCAAAAUCCCUGCAAUGGCAAAGCUAUGAAAACCCA
Molecule: long non-coding RNA, 5585 nt
Organism: Acinonyx jubatus (cheetah)
Lineage: Eukaryota; Metazoa; Chordata; Mammalia; Carnivora; Felidae
Exons: 3
Source: RefSeq, a predicted model, not a curated record